Molecule: small nucleolar RNA, 138 nt
Filed under: Bos mutus (wild yak)
Lineage: Eukaryota; Metazoa; Chordata; Mammalia; Artiodactyla; Bovidae
Source: RNAcentral
GUUGAUAUGUAUCCCUAUGGGGUUUUUCCUAUAGGGAAAUGCUCACAUUGUUGGAAAUGCCUCAUGGAGUUAACUGUGUGGUUUUGCUCCAUUCACAGAACUACUUGCUAGAUCUCUGGAAAGAAUUAUAAGAACCGU